UCCCUGGUGGACUAGUGGCUACCAUGCAGUGCGCUCAUCACCGUGGUCCGGGUUCGAUUCCUGGUCGGGGAA
Non-coding RNA from Pangasianodon gigas (Mekong giant catfish), 72 nucleotides. The record is from the annotation of a GenBank genome assembly. Lineage: Eukaryota; Metazoa; Chordata; Actinopteri; Siluriformes; Pangasiidae.